Molecule: transfer RNA, 92 nt
Filed under: Curvibacter fontanus
Lineage: Bacteria; Pseudomonadati; Pseudomonadota; Betaproteobacteria; Burkholderiales; Comamonadaceae
Also listed under: 1 other name
Description: tRNA-Leu
Rfam family: tRNA
About the family: Transfer RNA (tRNA) molecules are approximately 80 nucleotides in length.
Source: RNAcentral
GCCUCGAUGGUGAAAUUGGUAGACACAGCGGACUUAAAAUCCGCCGCUUCCAGAGAUGGGGCGUGCCGGUUCGAUUCCGGCUCGAGGCACCA